CUUGACCACCUGCUGGUCUUGGAUCUUGCAUCUUAUCCCUAACUGCUGUCUCCUCUCCUAAUUGAAGAAAUAAAGCUAUCCCACUAAGGGGAGCCUUCACCUGGAAAGACAUAAGAAACCAUACAACCCCUUGACCACCUGCUGGUCUUGGAUCUUGCAUCUUAUCCCUAACUGCUGUCUCCUCUCCUAAUUGAAGAAAUAAAGCUAUCCCACUAAGGGGAGCCUUCACCUGGAAAGACAUAAGAAACCAUACAACCCCUUGACCACCUGCUGGUCUUGGAUCUUGCAUCUUAUCCCUAACUGCUGUCUCCUCUCCUAAUUGAAGAAAUAAAGCUAUCCCACUAAGGGGAGCCUUCACCUGGAAAGACAUAAGAAACCAUACAACCCCUUGACCACCUGCUGGUCUUGGAUCUUGCAUCUUAUCCCUAACUGCUGUCUCCUCUCCUAAUUGAAGAAAUAAAGCUAUCCCACUAAGGGGAGCCUUCACCUGGAAAGACAUAAGAAACCAUACAACCCCUUGACCACCUGCUGGUCUUGGAUCUUGCAUCUUAUCCCUAACUGCUGUCUCCUCUCCUAAUUGAAGAAAUAAAGCUAUCCCACUAAGGGGAGCCUUCACCUGGAAAGACAUAAGAAAGUAUGUCCUAGAACUUCUGCUGGAUUUAAAUACAUAUUUGUAUGCCUCUUUCCGA
Molecule: long non-coding RNA, 689 nt
Organism: Protopterus annectens (West African lungfish)
Lineage: Eukaryota; Metazoa; Chordata; Ceratodontiformes; Protopteridae
Exons: 3
Source: RefSeq, a predicted model, not a curated record